RNAcentral lists this ribosomal RNA (235 nucleotides) under uncultured bacterium. RNAcentral's name for it is "partial 16S ribosomal RNA". It matches the Rfam family "Bacterial small subunit ribosomal RNA", at positions 118 to 347 of the family's 1533-position model. The record is from RNAcentral.
UGAGGAACAUGACCUACGGCGGGGGAUAGCCGGCCCAACGGCCGGGUAAUACCGCGUACGACCACUUGGGGACAUCCCUAGGUGGUGAAAGCAGCAAUGCGCCGAUGGAGNGCCUCGCGGCCUAUCAGCUAGUUGGUGAGGUAACGGCUCACCAAGGCAACGACGGGUAGCUGGUCUGAGAGGAUGGCCAGCCACAUUGGGACUGAGAUACGGCCCAGACUCCGUACGGGAGCAG